This 464-nucleotide ribosomal RNA is filed under the name uncultured bacterium. RNAcentral describes it as "partial 16S ribosomal RNA". It matches the Rfam family "Bacterial small subunit ribosomal RNA", at positions 339 to 795 of the family's 1533-position model. The record is from RNAcentral.
CUACGGGUCGCUGCAGUGGGGAAUAUUGCACAAUGGGCGCAAGCCUGAUGCAGCCAUGCCGCGUGUAUGAAGAAGGCCUUCGGGUUGUAAAGUACUUUCAGCGGGGAGGAAGGGAGUAAAGUUAAUACCUUUGCUCAUUGACGUUACCCGCAGAAGAAGCACCGGCUAACUCCGUGCCAGCAGCCGCGUUAAUACGGAGGGUGCAAGCGUUAAUCGGAAUUACUGGGCGUAAAGCGCACGCAGGCGGUUUGUUAAGUCAGAUGUGAAAUCCCCGGGCUCAACCUGGGAACUGCAUCUGAUACUGGAAAGCUUGAGUCUCGUAGAGGGGGGUAGAAUUCCAGGUGUAGCGGUGAAAUGCGUAGAGAUCUGGAGGAAUACCGGUGGCGAAGGCGGCCCCCUGGACGAAGACUGACGCUCAGGUGCGAAAGCGUGGGGAGCAAACAGGAUUAGAUACCCUGGUAGUC